RNAcentral lists this ribosomal RNA (245 nucleotides) under uncultured Clostridium sp. RNAcentral describes it as "partial 16S ribosomal RNA". It matches the Rfam family "Bacterial small subunit ribosomal RNA", at positions 796 to 1041 of the family's 1533-position model. The record is from RNAcentral. Lineage: Bacteria; Bacillati; Bacillota; Clostridia; Eubacteriales; Clostridiaceae.
CACGCCGUAAACGAUGAGUACUAGGUGUAGGGGGUAUCGACUCCCCCUGUGCCGCAGUUAACACAAUAAGUACUCCGCCUGGGAAGUACGAUCGCAAGAUUAAAACUCAAAGGAAUUGACGGGGGCCCGCACAAGCAGCGGAGCAUGUGGUUUAAUUCGAAGCAACGCGAAGAACCUUACCUAGACUUGACAUCCCCUGCAUUACUCGUAACUGAGGAAGUCCUUCGGGACAGGGAGACAGGUGG